Molecule: ribosomal RNA, 368 nt
Filed under: uncultured fungus
Lineage: Eukaryota; Fungi
Description: LSU rRNA
Rfam family: Eukaryotic large subunit ribosomal RNA
Source: RNAcentral
CUAACAAGGAUUCCCCUAGUAACUGCGAGUGAAGCGGGAAAAGCUCAAAUUUAAAAUCUGGUGGUCUUUUGGCCGUCCGAGUUGUAAUUUAGAGAAGCGUCUUCCGCGCUGGACCGUACACAAGUCUCCUGGAACGGAGCGUCAUAGAGGGUGAGAAUCCCGUCUUUGGUACGGACCCCCAGGGCUUCUGUGAUGCGCUCUCGAAGAGUCGAGUUGUUUGGGAAUGCAGCUCAAAAUGGGUGGUGAACUCCAUCUAAAGCUAAGUAUUGGCGAGAGACCGAUAGCGAACAAGUACCGUGAGGGAAAGAUGGAAAGCACUUUGGAAAGAGAGUGAAACAGUACGUGAAAUUGAUGAAAGGGAAACGCUU